GAUGAAGAACGCAGCGAAAUGCGAUAAGUAAUGUGAAUUGCAGAAUUCAGUGAAUCAUCGAAUCUUUGAACGCACAUUGCGCCCGCCAGUAUUCUGGCGGGCAUGCCUGUUCGAGCGUCAUUACAACCCUCAGGCCCCCGGGCCUGGCGUUGGGGAUCGGCGGAAGCCCCCUGCGGGCACAACGCCGUCCCCCAAAUACAGUGGCGGUCACGCCGCAGCUUCCAUUGCGUAGUAGCUAACACCUCGCAACUGGAGAGCGGCGCGGCCACGCCGUAAAACACCCAACUUCUGAAUGUUGACCUCGAACCAGGUAGGAAUACCCGCUGAACUUAAGCAUAUCAAUAAGCGGAGGA
This 353-nucleotide unclassified non-coding RNA is filed under the name soil metagenome. RNAcentral describes it as "partial contains 5.8S ribosomal RNA, internal transcribed spacer 2, and large subunit ribosomal RNA". The stretch from base 1 to 120 matches the Rfam family "5.8S ribosomal RNA", at positions 35 to 154 of the family's 154-position model. The record is from RNAcentral.